Non-coding RNA from Oryza sativa Japonica Group (Japanese rice), 1965 nucleotides. Lineage: Eukaryota; Viridiplantae; Streptophyta; Magnoliopsida; Poales; Poaceae. The record is from RefSeq and is a predicted model, not a curated record.
UUUUUCACACCAUGCUCUCCACUCCGCGGCUUCUCCCCGCACCGCGCGCCGGCGAUGCCAUACCCGCGCCCGCUCCCUCCGCCGCUGCACUCCGCACCCGCGCCGCACGCCGUCCUCCCAACGCCGUGCGCCAGCGCUGUCCUCCCCGCGCCCUCUCCGCCGCUGCCCUUCCAGCACCACCCCGCUGGCUCUCCCUCGCCGCCUCGCGCCGUUGCCGGAUCCUGUCAGGGCACCGUCGAUACAUCAUCGUCUGGUCUCCGUCGAGCCGCUUCGCCCUUGUGUCUGCACCGCACCUCACCGUCGAUCCCACGCAGUCCGGCCACCGUCGAUCCCUCGCCGUCCGGUCUCCGUCGACCCGCAUCAGCCUAGCACCGGCACCGGAUCUCCUGCUGUCCGGUCGCCGUCGAUCCCUCGAUGUCUGGUGUCCACUGCGCCGCCAACGCGACUCCUUGCUUCCCCCUUCGCAAACUCAUCUUGAUCACAUCUCCCUCGCUGCUCCUGUCUAAGACAAAGGUGAAUUUAUGUUGAGUUCCAGCCGGACAAUUGUUUGGCCUGCAGUAUGAAGCUUGUGGAGCAGUAAGUCUGCCAGCGGUAGGAGCAGGGUCUCAUUGAGUUGCUCCCGGCCAGGACUGCGAGGCUGUUGAUUCAUUGUUCGUGUCAUGCUGAGAUAAAGGCUUCUAUCUAAUUUUGGUACAUUCUCACAUAUUAUACCAUGGAAUCAAAAUAUACCAAGUUCCAGAGCAACAUGCAACUCCCAGUAAAAGUAAAACCAAAAGGUAUUUAGGUCAAUCGUCUCCUCGCCUCAGCCUACCACCCUAUUUUGAGCUUAAAGAUUGAAUUUCAAUCCAUGUGACAUUGGCUUCAAGGUAAACAUGAUUUUAUUUUUAAGAUUGCAUUUUAGUUUGCAAUAGGCAUACAUAUUCUAACUAUAUUUUUUACUUUUAGUUCAUGCAUGCUUCUUACAGCUCAAUUUAUGUAUAAUCCAUAUUUUUUAGGUUUCUGCAAACACAUGAUUAUAUUAUCGUUAUAAUUAAACUUUGGAUGUGAUUAUAUACUUUUUCACGGCAUGUAUCUCAAUUAAUUUUGAUAGGAGCAAUGCUGAUUGGAAAUAUAUUUCUAUCGGGGCGAUACUGAUGAGAUACAUUUUCUUAGAGCAAUUUGGAAAUGAUUUGAUCAUAAUAAUGCUGAUUGCAAAGGUGUACGAAGUCUAAUUUAUUCAUAACAUGCUCAGUAUCUUAUCACACUGCAAUUCAACAGUUGCAUUUUGUAUUUUGCUUAACGAAGAAUAAAUAAUCUUUAUGAUACAGGUUCCACUUAACUUUAUUGCAACCCUUUUGCUUUUGGCUGGAUAGAUGUUGACCUGUUAGCGGCAGCAGAUAUUUGUUCAAUCUGAUCUCUGAUUAUUUUUUUUCUAGAGCUGUGCCCAAGAAAUAUGAACAGACCAUAUAACAGUUACAUAGCAGCUAUAUGUGACUCGGUUUUUUUGCUCCAGUGAUAAUGGAUUAAUGACAACAACUUCUGCUGUCAACUUUGUGUUUUUGCCUGACCAUAUUGUGAUGUUUGCAUUGAUUUGCAUGUUCAAUCUGUGAAGCUUAUCUGGGAUAAACAAAGUGGACAACUUCAGGGUUAUGACUUUGUUGAGUUUACAAGCGUUGCAGGCAGCUGCUGAUGAAGUUCUUCAUCAGACAUAUAGUGGACACUGCACAAAUGAUGCUGAAUGUUGAGAUGGUCUUUCAAUUGAAUUGGGCCAUUUUAGUUGGGAUCUGGCUGCAGAUAUUGCAGACUACAUACUACAAGAGGCAUUCAGGGUCCAUUACCUUUCAGUUAAGGGUGUGUUAAUAGGUUUAUGGAAUUGUGAAAUUUGUUGGUGAUCUUGUAGCAGAAGUUCGUGCAAUAACUGAAAUGAAUACAAUGUAUUGGCCCAGCAGCAAAUAAGAGAACAACUGGGUUCAGGAGAGAGGUAAA